Molecule: small RNA, 90 nt
Filed under: Flavobacteriaceae bacterium 3519-10
Lineage: Bacteria; Pseudomonadati; Bacteroidota; Flavobacteriia; Flavobacteriales; Flavobacteriaceae
Description: Flavo-1 RNA
Rfam family: Flavo-1 RNA
Source: Rfam by way of RNAcentral
CCGCAAUAGGGAUUGAAACGUAAAUCCUUUUUUGGUGGCGCAGGCUCCCGGAGCCACCAAAAAAGAUUGCAGUGGAAAGCCCGGCCCUUG